Molecule: small nuclear RNA, 99 nt
Filed under: Mus pahari (shrew mouse)
Lineage: Eukaryota; Metazoa; Chordata; Mammalia; Rodentia; Muridae
Source: RNAcentral
GCUCACUUUGUCAGAACAUAUAUUAAAAAUGGAGCAAUACAGAGAUGGACGCUCCUGCACAAGGAUAACAUGUAAAUCUGUAAAGCGUAUCCAUUUUUC